RNAcentral lists this long non-coding RNA (1239 nucleotides) under Callithrix jacchus (white-tufted-ear marmoset). RNAcentral's name for it is "lncRNA (ENSCJAG00000077468.1)". Lineage: Eukaryota; Metazoa; Chordata; Mammalia; Primates; Cebidae. The record is from RNAcentral.
AAUAAUGUAAAACUAAACACCUAAGUACUUUGUAUUUUUACUACACAUAUCAGUCAGGUAAAAGAAAUCUAACAGAAAGUUUUAAAAAAGCAACAAUACUGGGGAACAGGACACAAUUUCAGAAAGAGCAAUGCCUAGGCUUGCCUCAGAAGCAAUGGGAUGCAGGUACACUGAAUAUUGAAUGCUGAUACCAGUACUAUUUAUUUCUGCUUCUCUUGUCUGUUUUUCUCUGUGUGAACUCCAUUCACUUCUAUUUCAAAUCUCCUUUGUCCAUUCUGGUGUUUCUAGGCUUAUAUCUUCAUAGCUUGAAGGCAGUUCAUGACAAGGGUCUACCUUGCUAGUUCUGGUUCCUUGGUAGAAAAAGUCCCUAAGAAAUAUUCCAACGGGAUUAGAAUGAGUGUUUUAUUCCAAGGAGCUACCCUUUAAUGGUAAAACCAGAAAAUAAGUAUAGGAUACUGAAGCUUAGACAACACUAAAAGAAACUGCAUAAAAACGCCAGUUAGCUUAAACAACUUUCACUUAAGUAUUUCUUUCAACAAUCUAGGCAGCCACUGUGAGCAAGCAAGAAAGGAUGAGGGAGGAGGCCAUAUGCCAUUUGCUCAGGAAUUGGCUGGAGUCUCAUUAGGCUGGCCUCUUUCUGUGCUGUGGCAGUGUUUCCCUUCCCAUUACGUUCAGGGUGUGCAAAGCCACAAGCAGCUCUGGAGCAAUGCAGGGGGUUACUGCUCUCCUUAGCCUGGCAGAGAUGGGGCAUGUAUACUAAUUAGGAUCCUGGGAGCUCUUGGAGUGCCUUACAUUCCACUGAUUGGCAGUCACAAACCUCAUCUUUGGAUUGGCCACAACCAAAGAUAACUCUUCGUGCAGAAUGUCCUUCUACUGAAAGCCCAAAUCAGAGACUGGCUCAGAAUCUGUCGUGUUCUGUUGAUAAUGAUGAAAAUAUGAUUCUGCAGCCCUGUUACUUCCCUGGUCCUCUUCUGCUUGUUGGCGUUCUACCACCUUCAAAGGUCACUUUUGCCAUCAUGGCAGAGACUAGACCAGUAUUGGACAGCUGGUGGCCCUGAUCAAAGGAAAAAAAGUAAAAUGGGAGAUAAAUAGGGAAAAAAAAUAAUAGAACAAAAACGAAAGAAUGAAAGAAUUGAAGUAGGAGAACUUUAAGUCUAUGUUUGUUCUGUUCCAUCACAUUGAUUAAUCGAGUUUAAUAAAAUAUACUUAUUAAUUCCAUUGAUAAGUUUUUGUUAACUG